This is a non-coding RNA of Pelobates cultripes (western spadefoot toad), 6453 nucleotides long. Lineage: Eukaryota; Metazoa; Chordata; Amphibia; Anura; Pelobatidae. The record is from the annotation of a GenBank genome assembly.
CUUUAUUAAUAAAUAACAAAUAAAGAAAACCAAAAGCAAAGUCCAGGAGGCAAGCAGGGGUCAGUCACCAGAGCGGGUAGUCAGACGAGCCAGGAUCCGGAGAACGGAGAGCAGCGAAGUCAGGAACAAGGCCAGAGUCAGGAACCAGGAACACACAGGAACAAGGCCAGAGUCAGGAACCAGGAACAAACAGGAAACACAUGAACAAGGAGACUUCUGGGGAACAGGAAACCACGCAAGGGCAAGGAGGUACUGGGAUUAGCUACUUAAAUAGGCUGCACUGAUUAGCAGAAGGAGCUGAUCGUUAAUCUCAGCUGAAAACUCAGACAUUGAGAAAGGAAGGGUUGCUGUUUAAAACAGCAAAGAAACCCUGACAGUACCUCCUCCUCAACGACUCCCCCCCCAUCCCUGCUGGUGGGUCCAGGCUUCAUGGGGAAGUGGGCGUGAUAGGAACGAAGGAGGGAAGGUGCAUGGACAUCAGAGGCUGGAACCCAGGAGCGACACAGUGUUUACAUUGUGGGGUUUACAUGCCUUUAGAGGCUGCCUUCUUAACAGCCACCAGAGGCACUUCUGCCUUCAAUAGCUUAGUUUAACUCAUAAGAGACCUUUGCCGCACAAGCGUACUAGUCUCUUAGCCUCUUGUUUCCCUGUGGGUAAACAUUGAAUUGGAUGAUCUCAGCCAAAGAGGCGUAGCGCAAUCGUGGAGACUGGCGCUAGGCAUGAAAGAUAAGUAAAACCAUUCAAACACUCACAAGGCAAUGAGGGGACUAUAAAGGUGGCAAGACACGUGUUUGCACUCCUAACACUAUAGUGUUCCUUUAAGUUGAAGCCCAGGUUCGGUGGAUGAAUUUAGAAAAAGAAAAAAAACAUUGUGCCAAUUUCUUUCUUUAAUCAACUUUUUAAAAUCACUGUCGCCAAAUAUACCUCCAACUUCAGCACAAGCUCCGCAGCCACGGGACAAGCAUUAUCAACAAUCAAGAAAUACAAUGUACAUAAUUUCUUCCUGGAUUGGAAGGUGUACGUUAACUUACUGGAUCAGCAAACAGAGUAUAGGGUUAGGAAAACCUCUGAUCGGAAUGAUAUCUAAGAUGUUUUAUUGCAGGUCACAAUCGGAUCAGUUUAUAGCUUCUGAAUUCUGCCGAGACGUCAAUCAGAAAUACCAUUAGUUGAUGACCAUUCAAAAAUAACAUUCGUUGAUGAAUCUGUUGUCAAUACUAGCUAAAGAGAGGGGCUAGGACAGCGUAAAGGUGGGGUGGGAUAUUGUUUGGGGAAUAUUAUGUAGUUUUAAUAUUUCCAUAAAAGUGCUUGCAUUUCCAAAACAUUGAUUGAUUACGGUUUGACUGAUCCUGAGUUUGAUGUCAAAAUUUGAGGAUCUGAUGCAAUUUUUUUUAUUUAUUUCUUCAACAUAACAUUUAUCCUGGAUAUAUUUUGCUCCCUCUCCUCUUCACGAUGACACCUCUAUUCAUACACCCGUUACCAGUGGUUUCCAACUUUCCUAUAUAUUACCAAAUAUAAGAAGGUAUUUUUUAAUAUCUUUAAAUAUUUAGGAUGGAGGAAAUGGAUUUUGUACCAGAGCUAACAUUCCACAAAUGUCAAACUUAAUCCUAAAUCCACUUCAUUUUUUAACCUUUUAUUUGCCUGCCGUUAGUAAGAUGAGGGGCAAAACUUGGCUUGUGAUCUGUCAAAUCUACGGUUUCAUAUUUGCUGUGUUUUGGAAGGUUAGAUUAUUUCUUAGCAGUGUUUACAGGACACAUACCGCAGAGUAUGUUGAGCCGUGACCACGUACGGAGUCGAAACAAGUACAAUUUGUAACCUGCAAACUAACACUGAGCUGGAAAGGUCCAGUGCAGGCGUUUAACACGUAAUAUUCCAAAACACAGAGGACAUGAAGUAAAAUCAUUUGCUGUGGUCCUACUACAUUUUAAAAAAUAUACAUAAGUCAAGCAUAGUAAUUUUGAUUUAGUAAAUGAGUCAAGCUGAUAAUGUAACCAGGACAGACAUUCUACCAGAAACUACUUUAAAACGGUCAUCAAAUUUUAACUUUUCAGAAGUUUAUCACAUUUAUUGAAACUUUAUCUGGCUGAGCAUACCACUGUCAUCUGACCAACUGCUGCUCAAUCUAGCCAGCCCGCUCCUGCAGUUUCACACAGAGCAACCACAGCAGCCAAGUGAGGUUGAGCACCAGUUUGGUCAGACAGCAGUAGAGUCUGACCCAACACCGCUGCUUGCGUAGAUAAAAAGUGAUAUUUUGAAAUGCAUCAUCUAACAAUAUUAUGAAGUUUAAUAAAAUGUGAUAAACGUUAAAAUAACGAGAAGUGAAAAACUGACGCCAGUAGUACUUUAAAAAUAGAAUGGGAACCACAACCACACCAAACCCAAAGUCAGUAUCUGCAAUCUAGAAGGCAGUUUUCAGAAUAAUUCAGUUCCUGUCUGGCUGUCAUUUGGCAUUUAUUAUCAUUCGUAUUACAUAUACUACAGUUUUAUAUAAACAAACCCUGCUGCAUGCGGGUAGGUUAUUAUAAUUUAUAUAGCACCAACAUAAUGCACAACAUAAAAAGGGGAUACUAGAGGUAAAGAAGGCACCAUAAUCACUGAAGCUCACUAUAAUGGUUAUGGAGGCAGGAGUUCCCUGCUGCCCUCCAGAUCUAAUUUGUCACAGCGUUUUAGAAUGGUUUGAGAAUAGGUCUGGAUCCCAGGGUGCCAUAGAAAGGCCAACACAGGACCGCUCUUAUUGGCAGAAAACAGUCAGCCGAGACCCUCAACCAAUGAGUGUGACCCUUCCAAAAAUGAAUAUAUGCCAGAAAACAUAGGGGUGUUGUAUGUUAAAGGAACACUCCAAAAAAUACAACUCCUGCAGCACUGUACUGGCUAUACUGGCAGGAGUGCCCUGGUGCUCUCAAAGGAGAAGUAAUCAAACCACUUGCAAACUUACCUGCGGUCUGCUGGAAACAGCCUCUUCUGAAAGGCAAAAGCUCCCACUAGGAGCUUCCAUAAGCUCCACAUGCAGGGCCCGCUCAUUGACUAACAGUGCCAGCUGAACUUAGCUCUGUGCUACAGCUGAUCUCCAGCUUAGGCUGCGAUUAAAAGAUAGUAGACCACAAGUCAAAUGUCAGGCCAUUCGCAAACAGUUUGACUACUUAACCUUAGAUGACGCCAGUGCCCUCCUGGCACCAUAGGGUUAUGGUGCAUGAAGUAUUGCUUUAAAAACAUAAAAUUAUUUUAGCCCCAAACAAGGACUGCUACCACCAUGGGAAGUAUGUGCAAGCAGACUUCAGCUAUAGCUUUAUACACAAAUGCUUGCAAUUUAUGUAUUGGAUUUGAGAGAUUAUUCCAUUAUUUUGUCAUUAUUCAUAAUCACAGUCAUAACAUCUUAUAGCUGCAGUAUGAGUAGUGAGUCUAGUGGUUAGGAUUCGGCGCUCUCACCGCCUUGGCCCGGGUUCGAUUCCCGGUCAGGGAAAGUUGGACAGACUAGAUGGGCCAAAUGGUUCUUAUCUGCCAUCACAUUCUAUGUUUCUAUGUUAUAGUUUGAUGGGUUUUCAGCAGUGCUGCCAUCUUGUGGCAGUUUGCAUUAAAGAGAAAUACAUCAUAUACAAAAAACAACCGUCGUCUAUUACAGUUGGUGUAAUAGCAUUUCUUUAAUUGGAUUUCGUGUGCUGGCUUCACUUCACAAAAAGUCUCACUUGCUGAUGAUAAAACGUAGCGGUGUCAUAGUCGUGCAGCACAGUGGUGGCUGAUCUUGGUAAUAUCUGAACACUGAGAGUUACAAGAAAUACAGUUCGUAAAAUACCUGCAGGUCAAGACGAGUUACCAUGGAACUGAUGGACAAUUACCAAAGCGGUCUACUAUCCCACUUCGAUGUGGGACCCUCACCUAGUGAAAUUACACAACGCCAAUGAUUAUCUGUAGAUAAAAACGUACAGAAUUUGUUCCAAAGCGACAUUUUACCACGUCCAUACGUAGCACACGCCGCUUUAUUCAAGAAACAUACAGACGAGGCAAGAUCUGCUUUCAAGGUUUAUAACACACACAAAAAAUGCAACUGCAGGAGUAUCUCAGUUUAGAUCACGGGUAAUAAUAUUCUAAAUGUUUGUGUAUGUAGGGGAGGGGAAUUAUUUUGAAAAAUACUGGUUCCUGAAUCUUUACUCCCAAAGUUCAGCAGCGUGCUAAGUGGAAGCCAGGAAAACAAAGUCUGACUUGAUGAGUAGUAAUUAUUCACCUAGUAUCACACUAUUCAAAUUAACGUUGUUCUUUUUAAGUGCAAUAUGUACCCUUCAGAAUAGCAUAUUAUUUCAAACCCCCCUUUUGGCCCAAAGUUAUGCCUGAACAACUAAAUGAUCUGCAAAACAUUGUAGGGGCAAGAAAAUAUACUGCAUGGGAGCGUGAGCGUAAUAUAGAAAGCCAGUAGUUAUUUACUGAACACAUAUUGAAGAUCAAAUUAGAACAGAAGUUGCCUUGGUGAAGGCCAAGCUAGCAGGGUGCAAGGAUUUGCCAUCUGACUUUUGUUGGUGUAAAUGAGUUGUUACCUAAAUGAUAAAUACACUCAUAAAAUAGACCUUUUAAUGAUCUUCCAGGGGAUGUAUGGCAUUUUGAGAGUAUUGUUCGAACAGCCUUUCAGAACUGCUGUGCAUAGGAUAAGUUUAUUAGAAAAUAAAUAAAUGUGUAUUAUUUAACAUCUGUGUGUGUUUACGCAUUGAAGUAUGGUAAUAAAUAUAUGCAGUUCCUAUUUUCACAAAGGGGUAGCAAUAAAUAUUGAACAAAGUUGCCCCAUGAACUAGCACUGCACAUAUGUACAAUACAUUGACAUUUAGGUAUAAGCGGUCUUGACUACAGGCAAAAUGACGCAACUACAGAGAGAAUGAAAAGGGACGAUUUCAUAAUAGAAUAUUCUAGGGCAGAAAAUGUGGUUUGUACCAAAAACAAAAAGACAGACAGAAGAGUUGCAACAGAGAAAAACAAAACCAUUAACCCCUUAAGGACCAAUGACAGAUUUAUUUUGUCAUGGCAGUCUGUACCUAGAGAACCGAUUACAGAAUAAUUCCAUCAUGUACUUACACUUCCCUUCACUUUGUUGUGAGUUGUAAAAGUGGAGAGACAGAUCAGAGAGGUACUGUUUGUGCUAAUCGUUAUUAAACUGGAUCAGUAAAAUGGAAACUCCUUUCAGGCCCAUAAAGCCAAAUUUUACGCUAUCGCUGCCCUUUGAUCACUGCUAGCAAUGAGCAGAAUACAGAUCACAUUAUUUUACUGUGAUCGGUUUCAUUUACCCUCAUAGGUUACAUUUAGUUUCUAAUUUCAUUAAAUUUUAAAUUGGUCAUUUACUCAGCAAGGGUGUACAGUAUUUGGGGGAAAUGUAGUGUUAGAUUAGUUAGAAGUUAAAAGAAAGAAAAAAGUUUAAAAAAGGUUGGUUAGUUGUAGUUAAGGUUCGGUCUGAAAAUACUUUGAAGGCGUACACAAUUUUUGUGUCUGAUUCAGAAGCGACAGGUAGUGCUGCAGGGUGUGACACAGGUGACAAUAUAUGCCAAACCUAGAAACAAGUAUGGAUUACCCUGAUGCUGCCCAAGGUGCAGGAGCAGGUGACUGGACACCUCUCCCAUUAUUUUACCCCUGACAUCUUUAUCUGAAGUACAACUAAAGGCAAACUGGCUGAUGUGACCAGCAGUGGCCCACUGGAUUUAUGCAGUUGGUCCUGUGGAUCCCAAUCCAGUCCUCAAGUACCCCCUAACAGUUCAGGAUUUAAGUUGUACAAUCUCUAAGCUCAACCAUUUACUACAAGAAAAGUAGCAUGGUACCCAACCAAAGUACCUGAAUUAAAACGAUUCUGGGGGCAUACAAUGUUAAUGAGGAUCAUAGCAAAGCCUAUUUUGCUUGUAUUAGACAAAUAAUCUUAUCUGCUGUACCCCCAUCCCCCCAGUAACUAUGAAUAUGCAGAUGUGAACCAUUACUGCAGUUUAUAAAAAAAUUUACGAUAAUAGCGAGUGAGUACUAAUAAGAACUAAUCCACAGUAUGACAAAUUGUUUAAAAGCUGCCCUGUAAUUUCCAACCUAAAUCAGAAGUCUUAAAGCUUUUAUGUCCCUACAAAACAUCUGAACACUUGUAGUAUAGACUAGAGAAAAUUAUAUGCUCUUGUUAAUAAUAUGAAUUGACAAGCUGCUUAUAUUUUAAAAUAGAUGUGGCCUUUGUGGAGUAGUUUGUAACCAUGCUCUGCUGAAAUGUUUUAAAAAUUUUACAAAAACAAUGGCCUCAUGAUCAGUAUCAAAAUAUACUAUUUGAGAUACCAUAUCUUAAAGAAGAUACCAUUAUGGUAUAUGUAAUGGUUUGAGCAAGCAACCUGCUGGAAUGCUACACAAUGGUACAUAGAGCCAGGAUCUAAAUUUUAAUAAAAUAAAACAACUGAAAAACACCUAUAAAUGGCUGUCUCAUAUUCGUCCCUUAAACACUAAUACACACACAUAUAU